AGUGUUGUUUGAUUUUUUUUUUUUUUUUUUCCCUUUGCGAAAUGGAAGAGAAGCAAAAUUAUGCAUGAUGGUUUUACUGCUACACAAAAAAAUAUAACUAAUUUGGUCAUGCAGUCACUUUAUUUUGGAUUUAUUGAACAUUUUAAUAGUUUUGAUGUUUUAUCAUACUUCAUUCUAUUUCACAUUUCCAAUAUUCUUGGUUUAACCAUUCUCCACUCCCUGGUCUCAUUGAAAGGUAUUAUCUUGGAAUCUACAGUUUUCUAGGCCAGCCCUCACUUCUUUUUAUUAUUUUUUUUUUUUUUGAAAGCUUUCCCUCUCUUAAACUGAAAUGGCAAAAUGGAUUGGUUAACUAGUCACUGGAUGCUCUAAAGGUUAACAUUUGGUGCCCAAUUCUCGGUGAUGUGAGCAAAAUAAGGGGACCCAUCAAAACUUGACGAUACAAGAAAAGAAUUCAUUAAUAGUAUAAGGAUACCACAGUAAUUCAUGAAUAGAAUGGCAUGGAAUUGACACAAUAAUGGGUUCAAGUCGGUUUUCCAUCUUUGCAUCUAGUUAAGGAUAAUAAGACAACAUUUGACAAGAAAGACUAUAUAGUUAAAGGUAGAAGAGGUCUGGCUGCAAAUUGUUUAAAUAAACUUUGCCAUUUAAUUCAAUAAUUCAGGCACCUAAUAUUUGACUAAAUAAGCC
Molecule: unclassified non-coding RNA, 684 nt
Filed under: Hevea brasiliensis (rubber tree)
Lineage: Eukaryota; Viridiplantae; Streptophyta; Magnoliopsida; Malpighiales; Euphorbiaceae
Source: RNAcentral